Molecule: ribosomal RNA, 200 nt
Filed under: uncultured bacterium
Lineage: Bacteria
Description: partial 16S ribosomal RNA
Rfam family: Bacterial small subunit ribosomal RNA
Source: RNAcentral
AACGAACGCUGGCGGCAGGCUUAACACAUGCAAGUCGAACGCCCCGCAAGGGGAGUGGCAGACGGGUGAGUAACGCGUGGGAAUCUACCCAAUUCUACGGAACAACAGAGGGAACUUCUGCUAAUACCGUAUACGCCCUACGGGGGAAAGAUUUAUCGGAAUUAGAUGAGCCCGCGUAAGAUUAGCUAGUUGGUGGGGUA